RNAcentral lists this ribosomal RNA (165 nucleotides) under uncultured bacterium. Its description in RNAcentral is "partial 16S rRNA". It matches the Rfam family "Bacterial small subunit ribosomal RNA", at positions 355 to 511 of the family's 1533-position model. The record is from RNAcentral.
UAGGGAAUCUUCGGCAAUGGGGGCAACCCUGACCGAGCAACGCCGCGUGAGUGAAGAAGAUUUUCGGAUCGUAAAGCUCUGUUGUAAGAGAAGAACGUGUGUGAGAGUGGAAAGUUCACACAGUGACGGUAACUUACCAGAAAGGGACGGCUAACUACGUGCCAG